GAUGAACGCUGGCGGCGUGCCUAAUACAUGCAAGUCGAGCGAACAGAUGAGGAGCUUGCUCCUCUGACGUUAGCGGCGGACGGGUGAGUAACACGUGGAUAACCUACCUAUAAGACUGGGAUAACUUCGGGAAACCGGAGCUAAUACCGGAUAAUAUAUUGAACCGCAUGGUUCAAUAGUGAAAGACGGUUUUGCUGUCACUUAUAGAUGGAUCCGCGCCGCAUUGGAUAGUUGGUCAGGUCACGGCUUACCAAGGCAACGAUGCGUAGACGACCUGAGGGGGUGAUCGGCCACCCUGGAACUGAGACACGGUCCAGACUCCUACGGGAGGCAGCAGUAGGGAAUCUUACGCAAUGGGCGAAAGCCUGACGGAGCAACGCCGCGUGAGUGAUGAAGGUCUUCGGAUCGUAAAACUCUGUUAUUAGGGAAGAACAAAUGUGUAAGUAACUAUGCACGUCUUGACGGUACCUAAUCAGAAAGCCACGGCUAACUACGUG
RNAcentral lists this ribosomal RNA (497 nucleotides) under uncultured bacterium. Its description in RNAcentral is "partial 16S ribosomal RNA". It matches the Rfam family "Bacterial small subunit ribosomal RNA", at positions 28 to 507 of the family's 1533-position model. The record is from RNAcentral.